AUCCUUCCACAGAUCUAAAGAAAAGUUCUCGGCUUUAAAGGGGAUUCUGUUUGUUUCUGCGUUGAUCAGAUCGGUAGGAUCUGGGUUCUCUAGUGGACCGAGACAUUGGAGGUGUGGUUGAUCAGUAGGAAUGACGAUUCUAUUGGACAGAUCCUAGAUGUUUUUGGGGGUAAAAAGAAGAGCAGAAAAGAAAAAAAAAGA
RNAcentral lists this long non-coding RNA (201 nucleotides) under Sorghum bicolor (sorghum). Its description in RNAcentral is "long non-coding RNA (SBIC_LNC014068)". The record is from RNAcentral. Lineage: Eukaryota; Viridiplantae; Streptophyta; Magnoliopsida; Poales; Poaceae.